UUUGAAAUCUGGCGUCUUUGGCGUCCGAGUUGUAAUUUGAAGAAGGUAUCUUUGGGCCCGGCUCUUGUCUAUGUUCCUUGGAACAGGACGUCACAGAGGGUGAGAAUCCCGUGCGAUGAGAUGACCCGGGUCUGUGUAAAGUUCCUUCGACGAGUCGAGUUGUUUGGGAAUGCAGCUCUAAGUGGGUGGUAAAUUCCAUCUAAAGCUAAAUAUUGGCGAGAGACCGAUAGCGAACAAGUACAGUGAUGGAAAGAUGAAAAGAACUUUGAAAAGAGAGUGAAAAAGUACGUGAAAUUGUUGAAAGGGAAGGGCUUGAGAUCAGACUUGGUAUUUUGCAUGCUGCUCUCUCGGGGGCGGCCGCUGCGGUUUACCGGGCCAGCAUCGGUUUGGAGCGGCAGGAUAAUGGCGGAGGAAUGUGGCACGGCUUCUGCUGUGUGUUAUAGCCUCUGACGAUACUGCCAGCCUAGACCGAGGACUGCGGUUUUUACCUAGGAUGUUGGCAUAAUGAUCUUAAGUCGCCCGUCUUGAAACACGGACCAAGGAGUCUAACGUCUAUGCGAGUGUUUGGGUGUAAAACCCGUACGCGUAAUGAAAGUGAACGAAGGUGGGGGCCCAUUAGGGUGCACCAUCGACCGAUCCUGAUGUGUUCGGAUGGAUUUGAGUAAGAGCAUAGCUGUUGGGACCCGAAAGAUGGUGAACUAUGCCUGAAUAGGUGAAGCCAGAGGAACUCUGGUGGAGGCUCGUAGCGGUUCUGACGU
RNAcentral lists this ribosomal RNA (758 nucleotides) under Candida albicans. RNAcentral's name for it is "eukaryotic LSU rRNA". It matches the Rfam family "Eukaryotic large subunit ribosomal RNA", at positions 114 to 892 of the family's 3401-position model. The record is from RNAcentral. Lineage: Eukaryota; Fungi; Ascomycota; Pichiomycetes; Serinales; Debaryomycetaceae.